AGCGAACGCUGGCGGCAGGCUUAACACGUGCAAGUCGAGCGGGCACUUUCGGGUGUCAGCGGCGGACGGGUGAGUAACGCGUGGGAACGUGCCCUCUGGUUCGGAAUAACUCAGGGAAACUUGAGCUAAUACCGGAUACGCCCUUUUGGGGAAAGGCUUGCUGCCGGAGGAUCGGCCCGCGUCUGAUUAGCUAGUUGGUGAGGUAACGGCUCACCAAGGCGACGAUCAGUAGCUGGUCUGAGAGGAUGAUCAGCCACACUGGGACUGAGACACGGCCCAGACUCCUACGGGAGGGAGCAGUGGGGAAUAUUGGACAAUGGGCGCAAGCCUGAUCCAGCCAUGCCGCGUGAGUGAUGAAGGCCUUAGGGUUGUAAAGCUCUUUUAUCCGGGACGAUAAUGACGGUACCGGAGGAAUAAGCCCCGGCUAACUUCGUG
RNAcentral lists this ribosomal RNA (435 nucleotides) under uncultured bacterium. RNAcentral describes it as "partial 16S ribosomal RNA". It matches the Rfam family "Bacterial small subunit ribosomal RNA", at positions 29 to 507 of the family's 1533-position model. The record is from RNAcentral.